CAGCCGCGGUAAUACGUAGGGGGCAAGCGUUGUCCGGAUUUAUUGGGCGUAAAGAGCGUGUAGGCGGCCAUACAGGUCCGUUGUGAAAACUGGAGGCUUAACCUCCAGACGUCGAUGGAAACCGUAUGGCUAGAGUCCGGAAGAGGAGAGUGGAAUUCCUGGUGUAGCGGUGAAAUGCGCAGAUAUCAGGAAGAACACCCGUGGCGAAGGGGGCUCUCUGGGACGGUACUGACGCUGAGACGCGAAAGCGUGGGGAGCGAACAGGAUUAGAUACACUGGUAGUCCACGCCGUAAACGAUGGUUGCUAGGUGUGGGGGGUGUCGACUCCCUCCGUGCCGCAGCUAACGCAUUAA
Molecule: ribosomal RNA, 353 nt
Filed under: uncultured soil bacterium
Lineage: Bacteria
Description: bacterial SSU rRNA
Rfam family: Bacterial small subunit ribosomal RNA
Source: RNAcentral